CUGGGGCUACUGCGCAUGGGCGAAGCCUGACGCACGACGCCGCGUGAGGGAUGACGGCCAUCGGGAUGUAAACAUAAAUCAGAUCCGACGAGGCGGAUAUGAUGGUAGGAGCAGAGGAGGCACCGGCCAAAUACAUGCCAGCAGCCGCGGUACUACGUAGGGUGCAAGCGUUGUCCGGAAUUCCUGGGCGUAAAGAGCUCGUAGCGGUCUGUCGCGUCGGCUGUGAAAACUCGGGGCUCAACUCCGAGCUCUGCACUCGCUACGGGCAGGCUAGACCUCGGCAGGGGAGACUGGAACUCCUGGUGUAGCGGUGAAAUGCGCAAUAUCAGGAGGAACACCGGUGGCGAAGCGGGUCUCUUGGGCCGAUACUGACGCUUGAGGAGCGAAAGCGUGGGGAGCGAACAGGAUUAGAUACCCUGGUAUUCCACGCCGUAACCUUGGGCGCUAGGUGUGGGAUCCCCUCCACGGGUUUCCGUGCCGCACUAACGCAUUAAGCGCCCCGCCUGGGGAGUACGGCCGCAGGCUAAAACU
Molecule: ribosomal RNA, 531 nt
Filed under: uncultured bacterium
Lineage: Bacteria
Description: bacterial SSU rRNA
Rfam family: Bacterial small subunit ribosomal RNA
Source: RNAcentral